UUAGAGGUUCGAAGGCGAUCAGAUACCGCCCUAGUUCUAACCAUAAACGAUGCCAGCCAGCGAUCCGGCUGUGUUCCUCAAAUGACACGCCGGGCAGCUUCCGGGAAACCAAAGCUUUUGGGUUCCGGGGGAAGUAUGGUUGCAAAGCUGAAACUUAAAGGAAUUGACGGAAGGGCACCACCAGGAUUGGAGCUUGCGGUUUAAUUUGACUCAACACGGGACAACCUACCCGGCCCGGACACAGGAAGGAUUGACAGAUUAAGAGCUCUUUCUUGAUUCUGUGGGUGGUGGUGCAUGGCCGUUCUUAGUUGGUGGACUGAUUUGUCUGGUUAAUUCCGUUAACGAACGAGACUCUAGCCUACUAAAUAGACGUUCCGAUUAUUUAUUUUUCGGACGUUCUUCUUAGAGGGACAAUCGGCGCUUAGCCCGAUGAGACAGAGCAAUAACAGGUCUGUGAUGCCCUUUGAUGUCCGGGGCCACACGCGUGCUACAUUGAAGGAAUCAGCGUGUGCUUUCCCUGUCCGACAGGACUGGGUAACCCGUUGAACCUCCUUCGUGCUGGGGAUAGGGGCUUGUAAUUGUUCCCCUUGAACGAGGAAUUCCUAGUAAGCACGAAUCAUCAGUUCGUGUUGACUAAGUCCCUGCCCUUUGUCCACACCGCCCGUCGCUACUACCGAUUGAAUGAUUUAG
This 690-nucleotide ribosomal RNA is filed under the name Coelotes pickardi tirolensis. Its description in RNAcentral is "SSU rRNA". It matches the Rfam family "Eukaryotic small subunit ribosomal RNA", at positions 990 to 1701 of the family's 1831-position model. The record is from RNAcentral. Lineage: Eukaryota; Metazoa; Arthropoda; Arachnida; Araneae; Agelenidae.